AACGAACGCUGGCGGCAUGCCUAACACAUGCAAGUCGAACGAGACCUUCGGGUCUAGUGGCGCACGGGUUCGUAACGCGUCGGAACCUGCCCUUAUGUUCGGACUAACUCCCCGACAGGGGUACUAAUACCGGAUAAUGUCUUCUGACCAAUGAUUUAUCGCCUCUGGUUGGGCCCGCGUUGAAUUAGCUAGUUGGUUUGGUAAAAGCCUACCACGGCGAAAAUGCAUAGCUGGUAUGAGAGGAAGAGCAGCCACACUGAGACUGAGACACGGCCCAGACUCAUACGCGAGGGAGGAGUGGGGAAUAGUGGAAAAUGGGCGGAAGCAUGAGGCAGCAAUGACGGGAGAGUGAUGAAGGUAGUAGGGUAGUAAAGUUUUUUUACCCGGGAAGAUAAUGACAGUACCGGGAGAAUAAGCUCCGGCUAACUACGUG
RNAcentral lists this ribosomal RNA (433 nucleotides) under uncultured bacterium. Its description in RNAcentral is "partial 16S ribosomal RNA". It matches the Rfam family "Bacterial small subunit ribosomal RNA", at positions 29 to 507 of the family's 1533-position model. The record is from RNAcentral.